AACUGAUACUACCUGCGGGAACCUGCGGAAGGAUCAUUACCGAGUUAUCAACUCCCAAACCCCUGUGAACAUACCCGAACGUUGCCUCGGCGGGACCGCCCCGGCGCCCCUAGCGGCCCGGAACCAGGCGCCCGCCGGAGGACCCAAACUCUUGCUUUAAACAGUGGCAUACUCUCUGAGUCUCACAAACAAAAAAUAAAUCAAAACUUUUAACAAUGGAUCUCUAGAUCGGAAGAGCAC
Molecule: unclassified non-coding RNA, 240 nt
Filed under: soil metagenome
Description: partial contains 5.8S ribosomal RNA, internal transcribed spacer 2, and large subunit ribosomal RNA
Source: RNAcentral